CAGUGUGGGUAAGGUUCGGGUUAGGCAUUCGGCUUAGCAGUGUGGUUAGGGUUAGGCAUUCGGCUUAGCAGUGUGGUUAAGGUUAGGGUUAGGCAUUCGGCUUAGCAGUGUGGUUAAGGUUAGGGUUAGGCAUUAGGCUUAGCAGUGUGGUUACGGUUAGGGUUAGGCAUUAGGCUUAGCAGUGUGGUUAAGGUUAGGAUUAGGCUUAGCAGUGUGGUCACAGUUAGGGUUAGGCAUUAGGCUUAGCAGUGUGGUUAAGGUUAGGCAUUAGGCUUAGCAGUGUGGUUAAGGUUAGGGUUAGGCAUUAGGCUUAGCAGUGUGGUUAAGGUUAGGGUUGGGUUUAAUCACGUUGUGUCUCUGCCAGCUAGUGACCACUCUGCUGCCCCCAGAACAAGACUCAUAAUGAAAAACGCUAACAUGUGUCAACAUGUGUUUAUUUGUGCUCAGAUCUGAACCAUUGACAAACAUGUUUAGUUGUCUUUUUUAAGCAGGGAAACCAGUAAUCGCUAAAUAUAUUUAAUAUCUCCGUUGGUCUAAAAUGGCACAUGUUUUAUAAUGCCUCAAUUCCUUUUUU
Molecule: long non-coding RNA, 574 nt
Organism: Oncorhynchus keta (chum salmon)
Lineage: Eukaryota; Metazoa; Chordata; Actinopteri; Salmoniformes; Salmonidae
Exons: 3
Source: RefSeq, a predicted model, not a curated record